This is a long non-coding RNA of Oncorhynchus tshawytscha (Chinook salmon), 1890 nucleotides long. The record is from Ensembl. NCBI's taxonomy places the organism in Eukaryota, Metazoa, Chordata, Actinopteri, Salmoniformes, Salmonidae.
CUCCCAUCUAUCUCUGAACACCAUCCAGUCCCAUCCUUCAGCUCUACUCAACCCCUCCCAUUUAUCUCUGAACACCAUCCAGUCCCAUCCUUCAGCUCUACUCAACCCCUCCCAUCUAUCUCUGAACACCAUCCAGUCCCAUCCUUCAGCUCCACUCAACCCCUCCCAUCUAUCUCUGAACACCAUCCAGUCCCAUCCUUCAGCUCCACUCAACCCCUCCCAUCUAUCUCUGAACAUCAUCCAGUCCCCUCCUUCAGCUCCACUCAACCCCUCCCAUCUAUCUCUGAACACCAUCCAGUCCCAUCCUUCAGCUCCACCACCCCUCCCAUCUAUCUCUGAACACCAUCCAGUCCCAUCCUUCAGCUCCACUCAACCCCUCCCAUCUAUCUCUGAACACCAUCCAGUCCCAUCCUUCAGCUCCACUCAACCCCUCCCAUCUAUCUCUGAACACCAUCCAGUUUCUAUUUGCCAUAUAUUUUUCAACUGUGCUGUCAUGUUUCACAGAAGUUCUGAACCUUUCUAUUCUCAUAGCUUGCACAGAUUGUAAAUUAAAGAUAAACAUUUUUGUUAAGACUAUUAUUAUAUCAUUGAGUGAUUGACUAUGACUUUUUAAAUCACCCAGCAGUGCUAUUAGCAGAGUUAGCUCUAGGUAAGUGUUGAAAUUCUUCAGCCAUUCCUGAACCUUUGACCAAAAACAAGCUACAUAUGGACAGUACCAGAACAGAUGAUCUAAUGAUUCUGUAUUUUCGCAGAAACAUCUGCAGAGCUGGGAUGGUUGUAUCCCCAACAUACUGUAUACAACAUUCUAUUGGUUGCACAUUUUUAUCUUUAAACUAUCUAAGUUUGAAUCUAGAGUUGUUUUGUAUAUCAGUUCAUGAAAUCAGUACAUACUGAUGACGUUGAUGUUGAUGCAGCCGAUGGUUUCUGUGGCGGAGAGCUCAGGGGUGGGCGUGCUAGUGACUGAACUCCCAGCAGUGGUUACCGAGGGCAGUGGCAAUGCUGACUCCAAGGCUGAUACACCUGUCUCACAGACAACGGAGAAUGAUGUGCCCAGUGUAAUUACAGACAGGCAGGGUGAUGUGCCCAGUGUAAUUACAGACAGGCAGGGUGAUGUGCCCAGUGUAAUUACAGACAAGCAGGGUGAUGUGCCCAGUGUAAUUACAGACACGCGGGGUGAUUGUGGGGAGGAGUUGGAGGCAGUUGGGGGGAGCCGGGGGACUCCGGAUUCCGUGGAGCUGCCCGAUGAGGAUGGAGGAAUGGAGGAGCUGUAAAACAGAUCGGACACUAGAUAGGAACGGGGAGGAAGCUCAUCCACAGUCGGAGGUGGCCUUAACCAAUGUGUUGAAACAGCACGGACUAGAAGACGUGUGGAGACAGGAUCUAUACAUGUGUGAAGGUAGUGGAGGGGAAGAUUAGUGCAGCAUAGCUACAUAAGAUCUAUGUCAGUAACUGGAGAAACAGGGUUUUGGGCUCCAAGAUCUGCCCUAGUGGCAUCUCAUACCAUCACAUGUUAAAAACUUCUGUUCUUUCCAUGACAUAGACUGACCAGCUGGAGGCUAUGAUCCCUUAUUGAUGUCACUUGUUAAAUGCACUUCAAUCAGUGUAGAUGAAAGGGAUGAGACAGGUUAUUAAAGAAGGAUUUUUAAGCAGUACUCUGGGCCAGCUAGGAUAAGGUCUACUAUUCAGAGGUUGGAGCUGGAUAUUAGAGACAUUGACUCAGGAUCAGAGACGGAGUUUGAGGGCUAUGCGGACUAUUCAGAUGUUGGAGCUGUAUAUUAAAGACAUUGACUCAGGAUCAGAGACGGAGUUCUAAAUUCUAAAGUUGUCUGUGAUGAGAUUGAAUCUCACAACCUUUGGGUAGCUAGAUAAUCGAGUUAUAAGCCCUCCCUC